Long non-coding RNA from Oreochromis aureus, 342 nucleotides. RefSeq lists it as uncharacterized. The record is from RefSeq and is a predicted model, not a curated record. The transcript has 3 exons. NCBI's taxonomy places the organism in Eukaryota, Metazoa, Chordata, Actinopteri, Cichliformes, Cichlidae.
GAAGACCCAUUUCCAGGCAAUUGUUGACAAUGCAACACUGGACUGUGAGGGUGAAAGAAACAUCUUUCAUGCACCCAAAUUUAUUGCCGGUCUGGUAAAUCACCUUCUACCACAUGCAACUUUGUGGUCAUCAAUGAUGCUCGGGGAUCUUGGACAUCAUGGUACUGGUCCUGCUUACCAGCAGCUCAGUAAACUCUAUAGUGACAUUCAGCAAUCCAAGAACCAGAAUUUUACACAAGACAACAGAACCCAAGGAAUCAUGGAGAAAAGCCAGUGGGAUUUGAAAAAAAUCCGUAUCCAGAGAAGGAGACUGACAAGGCUUGAUGACUUUGUGGAAAUUUA